This 371-nucleotide long non-coding RNA is filed under the name Brassica napus (rape). RNAcentral describes it as "long non-coding RNA (BNAP_LNC001243)". The record is from RNAcentral. Lineage: Eukaryota; Viridiplantae; Streptophyta; Magnoliopsida; Brassicales; Brassicaceae.
AAGGGGAUGUGUAAGAGGUGGAUCAUCACUUGAUCAUAUAUUAUAUAACGUGUAAGUAAAUAUAACAGAGGUUCUAAUUCAUUUUUUAAAUAACAAACAACUCACAUUUACAAUUCUAGAACUAUACGUUAAUGUUUUAGUCUAAGGACUGUUUGUUAAUGAUUUAUAUUUACGGUUGAGCAAAAACGUUGAUGCAUUGGUUUGAUAAUGAUUUACAAUUACAAUAAUUAAGGAAGCAAAUAUUGGUUUGUAAACCAAACCGAAAUUGUAGGCGUGUAAACAGAAAUUUAGAGAAUGAUAUAAUAAGCCAUAUUAGUAGUAAUAAAUGAAUAAAUGAUAACUGAUUUCUAGUGAUGGUCCACUAAGUCCAU